GAAAUAUCGGUACUGUGGUAGAUGUACUACCUGCCCAAUUUGUACUGCGCGUAUGUACUGCAGGACAGCGAUGUACUCCGAGCGAGGAAGGGAAAAGAAACCUGGAACCUCUCGUGCGCUCUCUUCCUCUCAGACCCUAUUCUCUCUUGUCUCACUCUUGCUGGCGGCGGCUACUGGGAGUAGCACGACGGGCGGAAGCCGACGGCGGGGAAAAGAUGGCGGCAGGGAACGACGGGCUCAUGUGUGGCGGCGGGGGACGGCGGGAUCCUGAGCGACGAUGGGGAACGGACUAGCGGCGGGAACGACGAGUGUGGUUGGCUUGGUCCACGAUGCAGGUACUUCUUGUCGGAGAGCAGUGCGGCGGCGGCACCCAGCUCUCCUCGGCGCCGGUGGAGGACCGAGCCGCUGGAUGCUUGAGAAGCAGAGGUGGGUGCCAAAUGACAAGAUGGUUCAGAGACAGAGGUAGAUGCCAAAUUGAAUUAACUCUUCUUGAUGUGUUUCUGAUGGAUGUGGCGGUUCUGGACUAAACCAUGGAGACAUCUCCUUCCGCACUGCAAUAUUUUUUUUUCUUUUAGAUCCAAGGAUGUGGUUUAAAGGUUAAAACCCGGCACUUUCUAAUAGUGUAGGACAAUAUAAAACUAUCCGAUGCCUAUAACUAUAGUUUUUUCUUGUAGAGUUGUUUGCUUAUAUGGUUUUCUUUCACUUUUGUUAGCUUUUUUUUUCUUCCUAUCGCUGAUCUUCAGUUACUGCAUGUGCAGCAAUGAGGAACAAUCAGCAGAUUUAGCAUUUAUUUUGCUAAAUAUGCAGGUUAUUGUAAUUAAAAAUCAGCGUGCCUUUCAUCAGCAGGCUAUCGUGGCGGUCUUGUUGAGUCAUUGUUGGGCAUGGGUGGAAGGUUGGCAAAUGUGGUUGAAUGGUACCACUCACACCCUGGUUAUGGAUGAUGGUUGCCAUGCAUUGAUGUUUCUACUCAGAUGUUUCAUCAUCAGUUUACAGAGCCAUUUUUGGUUGUUAUCAUUGACCCUGCAAGGAUUAUUUCUGCUGGUAAAGUGUAAAUUGGAGCUUUUAGGACGUAUCCCGGAAAUUACAGCUUACCUGACAAGACUUUGUAUGAGCAUCAUACCAUACCACAAAGCAAGAUAUAAUAUUUUGGUGUUCACUACAAACAGUACUAAUCUUUGGACAUAGUUAAUUUCAAGUGAUUCAGGGACUCUCACCUCCUUAUCUAUUCUAGAACAAGUGAUGGCCAACCAACAUUGAUCGAGUUUAAUUUGCGUCCAGCUUUUACUCUGUAGAUAUUGAAAUGGGAGAAGGAUCGAACCAUGCAUUUGUCGAAUUCCCUUAUAAGUUCAGAUUGUUGAUCAUGUGGAUCAACCAUUUAUGAUGUGUUAUUUUUUCUUCACAAAGGGCCUAGGCCCAUCCUCUGCGUAAACUUAUAUAUACGGCUCAUUUAUGAUGUGUUAUACCUUCUUUUAAGUAUGUGAGGUGCAUGUAUCAUAGUAUCA
Molecule: non-coding RNA, 1502 nt
Organism: Lolium perenne
Lineage: Eukaryota; Viridiplantae; Streptophyta; Magnoliopsida; Poales; Poaceae
Source: RefSeq, a predicted model, not a curated record